GGGCGAGUAGCUCAGCGGUUAGAGCAGGGCACUCAUAAUGCCUUGGUCGUGGGUUCGAUUCCCCCCUCGCCCACCA
This 76-nucleotide transfer RNA is filed under the name Pseudomonas fluorescens. RNAcentral's name for it is "tRNA-Met". It matches the Rfam family "tRNA". From Rfam's summary of the family: Transfer RNA (tRNA) molecules are approximately 80 nucleotides in length. The record is from RNAcentral. Lineage: Bacteria; Pseudomonadati; Pseudomonadota; Gammaproteobacteria; Pseudomonadales; Pseudomonadaceae.